AACGAACGCUGGCGGCAUGCCUAACACAUGCAAGUCGAACGAGACCUUCGGGUCUAGUGGCGCACGGGUGCGUAACGCGUGGGAACCUGCCCUUAGGUUCGGCAUAACUCCCCGAAAGGGGUGCUAAUACCGGAUAAUGUCUUCGGACCAAAGAUUUAUCGCCAUUGGUUGGGCCCGCGUUGGAUUAGCUAGUUGGUAGGGUAAAAGCCUACCAGGGCGACGAUCCAUAGCUGGUCAGAGAGGAUGAUCAGCCACACUGGGACUGAGACACGGCCGAGAAUCCUACGGAAGGGGGGAGUGGGGGAUAUAGGACAGUGGGGGGAGUGAUGAACGUGCAAGGACGGGUAAGUGAUGAAAGCAGGAAGGAAGUAAAGCUCUUUUACCCGGGAUGGUAAUGACGGUACCGAAAGAAUAAGCUCCGGCUAACUCCGUG
This 433-nucleotide ribosomal RNA is filed under the name uncultured bacterium. RNAcentral describes it as "partial 16S ribosomal RNA". It matches the Rfam family "Bacterial small subunit ribosomal RNA", at positions 29 to 507 of the family's 1533-position model. The record is from RNAcentral.